Molecule: ribosomal RNA, 510 nt
Filed under: Magallana ariakensis (Suminoe oyster)
Lineage: Eukaryota; Metazoa; Mollusca; Bivalvia; Ostreida; Ostreidae
Description: partial 16S ribosomal RNA
Rfam family: Bacterial large subunit ribosomal RNA
Source: RNAcentral
CUAGAAGAGAAAGACUUUUAGCAAUACCUGCCCAGUGCGAAAUAUUACUGUAAACGGCCGCCCUAGCGUGAGGGUGCUAAGGUAGCGAAAUUCCUUGCCUUUUGAUUGUAGGCCUGCAUGAAUGGUUUAACGAGGGUUUAACUGUCUCUUGAUUUAAAAUUGAAAUUGUACUGAAGGUGAAGAUACCUUCAUUAAAAAGUCAGACAAAAAGACCCCGUGCAACUUUGAAAAUUAACUUUAUUCAGAAGUGAAAGAUUUUUAGGUGGGGCGCCUAGAAAGUAAAUCUAACCUUUCUGAACAUUUAAUUCUUUCCGGACUUGACCCGAUUAUAUUCGAUCAUAGGAGAAGUUACGCCGGGGAUAACAGGCUAAUCCUUUAGUAGAGCUCGUAUUGGCUAAAGGGAUUGGCACCUCGAUGUUGAAUCAGGGAUGAUAGCUUCAAGGCGUAGAGGCUUUGAGAGUAGGUCUGUUCGACCUUUAAUACCCUACGUGAUCUGAGUUCAGACCCGGA